This 70-nucleotide transfer RNA is filed under the name Camelus bactrianus (Bactrian camel). It matches the Rfam family "tRNA". From Rfam's summary of the family: Transfer RNA (tRNA) molecules are approximately 80 nucleotides in length. Their secondary structure includes four short double-helical elements and three loops (D, anti-codon, and T loops). Further hydrogen bonds mediate the characteristic L-shaped molecular structure. tRNAs have two regions of fundamental functional importance: the anti-codon, which is responsible for specific mRNA codon recognition, and the 3' end, to which the tRNAs corresponding amino acid is attached (by aminoacyl-tRNA synthetases). tRNAs cope with the degeneracy of the genetic code in two manners: having more than one tRNA (with a specific anti-codon) for a particular amino acid; and 'wobble' base-pairing, i.e. permitting non-standard base-pairing at the 3rd anti-codon position. The record is from Rfam by way of RNAcentral. Lineage: Eukaryota; Metazoa; Chordata; Mammalia; Artiodactyla; Camelidae. RNAcentral also lists the same sequence under 2 other names.
GGGGAUAGCUCAGUGGUAGAGUGUGUGCUUAGCAUGCACGAGGUCCUGGGUUUAAUCCCCAGUGUCUCCA